RNAcentral lists this ribosomal RNA (228 nucleotides) under uncultured bacterium. RNAcentral's name for it is "partial 16S ribosomal RNA". It matches the Rfam family "Bacterial small subunit ribosomal RNA", at positions 15 to 236 of the family's 1533-position model. The record is from RNAcentral.
GAUCAUGGCUCAGGAUGAACGCUAGCUACAGGCUUAACACACGCAAGUCGAGGGGCAGCAUGUUGGUUGCUUGCAACCAAUGAUGGCGACCGGCGCACGGGUGAGUAACGCGUAUCCAACCUACUCUUGUCCAUCGGAUAACCCGUCGAAAGGCGGCCUAACACGAUAUGCGGUUCACAGCAGGCAUCUAACGUGAACGAAACGUAAAGGAGAAGGAUGGGGAUGCGU